GUGUCAGCCGCCGCGGUAAUACGUAGGUGGCAAGCGUUGUCCGGAUCUAUUGGGCGUAAAGCGAGCGCAGGCGGAAAAAUAAGUCUAAUGUGAAAGCCCUCGGCUUAACCGAGGAACUGCAUCGGAAACUGUUUUUCUUGAGUGCAGAAGAGGAGAGUGGAACUCCAUGUGUAGCGGUGGAAUGCGUAGAUAUAUGGAAGAACACCAGUGGCGAAGGCGGCUCUCUGGUCUGCAACUGACGCUGAGGCUCGAAAGCAUGGGUAGCGAACAGGAUUAGAUACCCUGGUAGUCCAUGCCGUAAACGAUGAGUGCUAAGUGUUGGGAGGUUUCCGCCUCUCAGUGCUGCAGCUAACGCAUUAAGCACUCCGCCUGGGGAGUACGACCGCAAGGUUGAAACUCAAAGGAAUUGACGGGGGCCCGCACAAGCGGUGGAGCAUGUGGUUUAAUUCGAAGCAACGCGAAGAACCUUACCAGGUCUUGACAUCUAGUGCAAUCUGUAGAGAUACGGAGUUCCCUUCGGGGACGCUAAGACAGGUGGUGCAUGGCUGUCGUCAGCUCGUGUCGUGAGAUGUUGGGUUAAGUCCCGCAACGAGCGCAACCCUUGUUAUUAGUUGCCAGCAUUAAGUUGGGCACUCUAAUGAGACUGCCGGUGACAAACCGGAGGAAGGUGGGGAUGACGUCAAGUCAUCAUGCCCCUUAUGACCUGGGCUACACACGUGCUACAAUGGGCAGUACAACGAGAAGCAAGCCUCCGAAGGCAAGCGAAUCUAUGAAAGCUGCUAUCAGUUAGGACUGCAGUCUGCAACUUGACUGCACGAAGCUGGAAUCGCUAGUAAUCGCGGAUCAGCACGCCGCGGUGAAUACGUUCCCGGGCCUUGUACACACCGCCCGUCACACCAUGGGAGUCUGCAAUGCCCAAAGCCGGUGGCCUAACCUUCGGGAAGGAGCCGUCUAAGGCAGGGCAGAUGACUGGGGUGAAGUCCUAACAAGGUAGCC
RNAcentral lists this ribosomal RNA (996 nucleotides) under uncultured bacterium. Its description in RNAcentral is "bacterial SSU rRNA". It matches the Rfam family "Bacterial small subunit ribosomal RNA", at positions 505 to 1501 of the family's 1533-position model. The record is from RNAcentral.